RNAcentral lists this long non-coding RNA (882 nucleotides) under Callithrix jacchus (white-tufted-ear marmoset). Its description in RNAcentral is "lncRNA (ENSCJAG00000081762.1)". Lineage: Eukaryota; Metazoa; Chordata; Mammalia; Primates; Cebidae. The record is from RNAcentral.
GUUCCUGGGAGGAAAUCCCAGCUAACCAGAGACACGAUCGGGGACUUGUCUGCUCUCGGGUCUAGGAGAGAACGUAUGAGGUAUGUACCCUGUGAGUGUUGAUUGAUUGGCACGUACCCAGGGAACUCACGUGACACUGUGCAUCAUAGGAGUAACUGCAGUAGAUUUGCAGAAAAGCCAGCCAGAGAAAAUGGCAUGUCCUACAAGGAGGGCCUGCACACAUCCAGGUACAAUUUUGGCUACCACGAUGAUGAUCAUGAGCAGGCAGUUUGCAGGGUCCUGGUAGAAAAGCUGUGUCCAUAGAAACGUUGGUCACAUAUGUGGUUUCAAGUUCCCAUGGAGAGGUCACAGGAAACCUCUUUGUGCUUGAGCAGAGGACUGUGCCUGAAUUUAGGGCAGUGACGGUGUGGGCCUAAGCAGGCCGUGGAGUAUCCGACCUUCCCAUAGUCAGGUAAACGCGGAUGGCUUUCUGACUCUUGUCCCCAUCCUGCCAUGGGUUCCUUAUCUCAUUUUCUGUUCUUUAUUUUCUGCAGUUAUUCAGUUAAGAAACAAUGCUUUGCCAACCAAGGCUAGUAAGCAUUGGUCCUUCUAUGUUCAACUUUGGGAAAAUGUGCCUUGAACAUGAGUUCUUGUUGGCUGAGGAAGAUGUGGGCAUCCAGGUGCGCCAAGUGGCAUCCAGGAAACACCUGUCAGAUGCGUUUCUUCUCUGCUGCUAGUCACACGAUCAAGGCCAGUCUGAGAAUGGCCAUUCAGGGGCCCUGGAUAGUAACCAGGUUCCUGUCAAGAGAUUAUAACAAACCUAACAAUGAUCAUUAUCAGGGACUGUUUCUGGUAUCCAGGUUUCCUGGUAGAGAUGUUUCCUGCAUUGAUGAAAGUGAAUAA